GGGCGCAAGCCUGAUGCAGCCAUGCCGCGUGUGUGAAGAAGGCCUUCGGGUUGUAAAGCACUUUCAGCGGGGAGGAAGGCGAUAAGGUUAAUAACCUCAUCGAUUGACGUUACCCGCAGAAGAAGCACCGGCUAACUCCGUGCCAGCAGCCGCGGUAAUACGGAGGGUGCAAGCGUUAAUCGGAAUUACUGGGCGUAAAGCGCACGCAGGCGGUCUGUCAAGUCGGAUGUGAAAUCCCCGGGCUCAACCUGGGAACUGCAUUCGAAACUGGCAGGCUAGAGUCUUGUAGAGGGGGGUAGAAUUCCAGGUGUAGCGGUGAAAUGCGUAGAGAUCUGGAGGAAUACC
Molecule: ribosomal RNA, 345 nt
Filed under: uncultured bacterium
Lineage: Bacteria
Description: bacterial SSU rRNA
Rfam family: Bacterial small subunit ribosomal RNA
Source: RNAcentral